CAUAGCGACCAUCGUGGCAUAUCAAUAAGCGGAGGAAAAGAAACUAACAAGGAUUCCCUUAGUAACGGCGAGUGAAGCGGGAAGAGCUCAAAUUUGAAAUCUUCAAGGUUUUACCUUGACGAAUUGUAGUUUAUAGAAGUGUUUUCUGUUAGUGGAGUUUGGUAAAAGUUCUUUGGAAUAGGACAUCAUAGAGGGUGAGAAUCCCGUAUUUGAGCUCAUUAUUUCCAGCUGUGUGAUACACUUUCAAAGAGUCGGAUUGUUUGGGAAUGCAGUCCAAAAUGGGUGGUAAAUUUCAUCUAAAGCUAAAUAUUGGCGAGAGACCGAUAGCGAACAAGUACCGUGAGGGAAAGAUGAAAAGAACUUUGAAAAGAGAGUUAAACAGUACGUGAAAUUGUCAAAAGGGAAGCGUUUGACACCAGUGUUGUUUUUCCGAAAAUCAAUUACGAAUGUUUUAUUUUUGAGGAGUUAUGACUUCAUCGGCUUGCUUCCUUUCUUUAUCGAAACUUUCUUAAUGCACUUUUCGGUUAACAAGUCAACAUCAACUUCCUUUUGUUGUAAAAGGGUAUGGGGAAGGUGGCUUUCUUUUCGGAGAAAGUGUUUAUAGCCUUGUGCCUCUGCAAUCGGAGAGAUUGAGGUCUGCAGCGUAGAUCCUUCGGGGUUAGAUACAGUUGUGCUAAGCUAUAGCCUUGUAUAGACAACUUGUUGACUAUGCUCAGUCAUGUAGCUUACUCGCUUAUGCUAUUUUACCUACGCUUAGGAUGUUGAUAUGCAUGACUGAUAU
Molecule: ribosomal RNA, 781 nt
Filed under: uncultured Neocallimastigales
Lineage: Eukaryota; Fungi; Neocallimastigomycota; Neocallimastigomycetes; Neocallimastigales
Description: partial large subunit ribosomal RNA
Rfam family: Eukaryotic large subunit ribosomal RNA
Source: RNAcentral